AGUAAUGCACUUGCCCGAAUUGUAUUUUUAGUAUGUUUCAUUAAUAUUCGAAGGAGGCGGAGCCAGAAAUUUAUCGGGAAAUCAGGUUUGGACUGAAGUGGAUGAAAUGUGGAGGAAAAUUUUAUAGGAAUAAAUUACUCCCACCCUAAGAUAAAUUAUAUGGGAUCCGUUUUUAUGACUUCUUGGUCUUGCUAUUUUCCGUUUCUUCUCCAAGUUGUCGUCUGUAAUUUGAACACUACUGUUGCUGAAUGGGUGAUCUUGGACAGCUUCCGGAACAUCAGAUGACACCGGAAUAUAAGCAGACGAUGGCUUGGCUGGAGUCUAUAUAUUUGGGAAAUACUUUUUCUUGAAUGUUAUAUAUCAAGACUUUUACCUUUCAUAGAUAUAAAUUUUAAAAGAAUGGGUGUAUGAAAAAAUAAUAAAUCUAUAAAUUA
Molecule: long non-coding RNA, 434 nt
Organism: Saccostrea cuccullata (small rock oyster)
Lineage: Eukaryota; Metazoa; Mollusca; Bivalvia; Ostreida; Ostreidae
Exons: 2
Source: RefSeq, a predicted model, not a curated record